Molecule: ribosomal RNA, 351 nt
Filed under: Triticum aestivum (bread wheat)
Lineage: Eukaryota; Viridiplantae; Streptophyta; Magnoliopsida; Poales; Poaceae
Description: partial small subunit ribosomal RNA
Source: RNAcentral
AUGUGUUGGUUGGCUGGGUCAACCGUUUCGUGGUGCGUGCGCACCCUGUCCCUGCACGCCGCGUGCACGUCACGCCAUUUGCGGGAGAUCGUGCGAGAGCCACGCCCAUUGGUCACCGCCCCGCACAAACCCUACCCUUUCCAGCACUCCCAAAUCGAUGCAGCCGCCUCCACUCUCCCUCUCUUCCUCCCCCAACGCGCCGGCCGCUUCCACCUGCCAUACCGCCUCCCCGCUGCCGCCAUGGCCUCUUCAGGAGGCACGCCCCUCCAUAGUGCGAAGCAGGAGACCAGGAUCCGAAUGAGGAAGAGGAGAUCCGGGCGCCCCAACGGUGGAUCAAUCGAUGCGAGGUGA